AACGUAGGACGCAAGCGUUAUCCGGAGUUACUGGGCGUAAAGCGCGGGCAGGCGGCUCGAUGCGUCUGAUGUGAAAUCUCCUCGCUCAACGGGGAGAGGCCAUUGGAAACGGUCAAGCUGGAGGGCAGUAGAGGUAGGCGGAAUUCCGGGUGGAGUGGUGAAAUUCGUAGAUAUUCGCAAGAACACCAGUGGCGAAGGCGGCUCACUGGCCCGAUACUGACGCUGAGGUGCGAAAGCGUGGGGAGCAAACAGG
RNAcentral lists this ribosomal RNA (253 nucleotides) under uncultured bacterium. RNAcentral describes it as "partial 16S ribosomal RNA". It matches the Rfam family "Bacterial small subunit ribosomal RNA", at positions 524 to 776 of the family's 1533-position model. The record is from RNAcentral.